This 499-nucleotide ribosomal RNA is filed under the name uncultured bacterium. RNAcentral describes it as "partial 16S ribosomal RNA". It matches the Rfam family "Bacterial small subunit ribosomal RNA", at positions 28 to 507 of the family's 1533-position model. The record is from RNAcentral.
GAUGAACGCUGGCGGCGCGCCUAAUACAUGCAAGUCGAGCGAACAGACGAGAGUGCUUGCACUCUCUGACGUUAGCGGCGGACGGGUGAGUAACACGUGGGUAACCUACCUAUAAGACUGGGAUAACUUCGGGAAACCGGAGCUAAUACCGGAUAAUAUUUAGCUUCGCAUGAAGCAAUAGUGAAAGACGGUUCUGCUGUCACUUAUAGAUGGACCCGCGGUGUAUUAGCUAGUUGGUGAGGUAACGGCUCACCAAGGCAACGAUACAUAGCCGACCUGAGAGGGUGAUCGGCCACACUGGGACUGAGACACGGCCCAGACUCCUACGGGAGGCAGCAGUAGGGAAUCUUCCGCAAUGGACGAAAGUCUGACGGAGCAAUGCCGCGUGAGUGAAGAAGGUUUUCGGAUCGUAAAACUCUGUUGUAAGGGAAGAACAAGUACGUUAGUAACUGAACGUACCUUGACGGUACCUGACCAGAAAGCCACGGCUAACUACGUG